Long non-coding RNA from Trachemys scripta elegans, 1111 nucleotides. RefSeq lists it as uncharacterized. The record is from RefSeq and is a predicted model, not a curated record. Lineage: Eukaryota; Metazoa; Chordata; Testudines; Emydidae. The transcript is spliced from 2 exons.
UCUAGGCAGACUGACAACCACCAGAUCUGGAGACCUAUUUCCCUGUGAAAGUUGAAUUUCAGAGAUUGUCCACUACUGGUAUUCUUCCAGAAAGUAAAGUCAUUAUACAUGUUUCCAAAGAUACCCUUCUGAAGCCAAAAACGUAAGAUUAUGGAACAGUGACUAAAAACAAAAAUUGGAGAUGAAGACUGGCUGAGGAACCCAACCUACAGAAAAGAAUAGGGACCUGAGGCACCUGAACUACAACUCCCAUGAGUCAUUGCAGCAGCAUUUCAAAAUGUUUUUUUUUUCUUCGUUUGAGCUGAAAGCAGACACUUGGAAAGUUUUGUUUAGUCAAAAAACUACUAUUCCAUUGAAAAAAAAAGUUUUGAUGGAAAAUUUUCAGCCAGCUCCAGGAAUUAAUACACUGUAGACUAUUUUUUCAAGUUUGAAUUUUCUAUUAUAUAUAUUUGGAGUCUAGUGUUCUCUCAAUGAGUAAAUGAGCACAAAGUUUGCAUCUGAACUUCCCUAAGCUCAGAGGCAUUUUGAGCUAGGCCAGACUUUGCUUAGUAAUGAGUUAAAAUUAUGUGCACUCAGCAAGAAGAGAACAUACCCCCUAGCUUGAAUUAAUAUCUAACAUGCAUCCUAUUUACUGGGGUUAAUAUGAAACUAGACAAAACUAUUUCAAAAUAUCACUGUGCAAAUGAUUCUGUCAGACUGAGCUGUGGGAGGUUAGAAUGAAAUUCCUGUGCUCACAGUGAGCUCAGCUCACCAGCAGGAGAGAAAAAAAUCACUGUUUAAGGGAGGGCCCCACAGCUUUGCACCUGCAGUUCAGUUUCUGCAAUCCAUCAUUUACAUUACCUUUGGAAAUGGAGGGUUAGGAAAAUCUUGUGGCAAAUUUACAGUGAACUGUGAAUGCUUCCUGUCCUGUCCUCCCUGCCUCAGCUACAGCUGGAAUCUAAUAACUCAAAAUCAGUUAUUUCCUGACAAAAUAAUAUAUUUCUGCUUACAAUUAUUCUUUCUGGGGAACUGAAAUGGUACUAUGGAGAGUGUUGGAUGAUGAGUCCUAUAGGUUGUAAAAUCUAAGUUCAUUCUGAUCCUACAUUAAAACCAAUAUUUACCUUGCCUCUGA